GGGGCUGUAGCUCAGUUGGUAGAGCGCGGGACUCCAAAUCCCGCGGUCGGGGGUUCGAGUCCUCCCAGCCCCGCCA
RNAcentral lists this transfer RNA (76 nucleotides) under Gammaproteobacteria bacterium. Its description in RNAcentral is "tRNA-Trp". It matches the Rfam family "tRNA". Rfam says of the family: Transfer RNA (tRNA) molecules are approximately 80 nucleotides in length. RNAcentral also lists the same sequence under 1 other name. Lineage: Bacteria; Pseudomonadati; Pseudomonadota; Gammaproteobacteria. The record is from RNAcentral.